GCUUGAAUCAUUUGGUCAUCAGGUAGUUUGUGUCCAUACCACUGAAACAAUGCAUCUAGCUCUGCCCAUAUAUCUAAGUGUCCUUUUGAUUGGCUGUGUCAUUGCUGGAGGUUCCUGGUGUGCCAAAAUGGCAAGAGCCCGUGCAGCUGCCAUGGGUUUGGACCUCCCUAGGACCCAGUUUGUCCCUUACCAUCUUCGACCAACACGUCAUGGGAGUUUUGAUCCCAUAAGAAACCACUGAAAAUAAUGAUGGCCCCAAAGAGGCUGAGUUUCAGCACAAUGGUAAAAUCCAAGGGGAAGGAUAUCCAAGUGACUGGGCCUGUGGACAAGUCCUCCCCAGAGGCUUUCAACCCAAACCUUCUACACUAAACCACCACGGUUCUGAUCCCAGUUUGGCUGACUCCUCUGUCAGCCAUUCUUCCCACACUCCCAGGGGAGAGUUUAUUAGCAGCCACAAGCCCAACUUUGAUCAGGUGAAGAAUUCUGCGCCUCGACCAAAUGUAAUGGUAGCCCCUGGUCAGUUUGAGUACUCAGAGAAAGUGGACAUUCGAGGUUACUAUAAGCCUAUUGUAGUUCAGCCUGUCCCCAGCAGACAUGGAAUAGCCCAGAGUGUGGUUUCACGACCCCAGGAUAAUGGUGCUGUACCCUAUGGAAAAAGUAUCCUAUGGCCCUGGCCUCAGUAGAGGCUUUUCCUCUAGAUCCUCUCCACCAUCCCAGAGUGGACUGAUCAGCCACUAAACUAAGACAAUUAUGUUCCCAGGCCCUGGUGCUGUCCAUUCCUUGAUCAAAGAGCAGAAUAUGA
Molecule: long non-coding RNA, 802 nt
Organism: Coregonus clupeaformis (lake whitefish)
Lineage: Eukaryota; Metazoa; Chordata; Actinopteri; Salmoniformes; Salmonidae
Exons: 3
Source: RefSeq, a predicted model, not a curated record